This is a small nuclear RNA of Cynara cardunculus var. scolymus (artichoke), 160 nucleotides long. RefSeq annotates it as U1 spliceosomal RNA. The record is from RefSeq and is a predicted model, not a curated record. The transcript has a single exon. Lineage: Eukaryota; Viridiplantae; Streptophyta; Magnoliopsida; Asterales; Asteraceae.
GUACUUACCUGGACGGGGUCAAUGGGUGGUCAAGAUGGCCCAUGGCCUAGGUUGGCGACCUCCAUUGCACUUUGGAGGGGCUCCUGUCUAAGGUCGGCCCAAGAGGUCGAACCUACGUCAUAAUUUGUGCCAGUGGAGGUCUGCGUUCGCGCGGCCUCUU